Molecule: ribosomal RNA, 851 nt
Filed under: Xanthoparmelia aff. subramigera
Lineage: Eukaryota; Fungi; Ascomycota; Lecanoromycetes; Lecanorales; Parmeliaceae
Description: eukaryotic LSU rRNA
Rfam family: Eukaryotic large subunit ribosomal RNA
Source: RNAcentral
GGGAUUGCCUCAGUAACGGCGAGUGAAGCGGCAACAGCUCAAAUUUGAAAUCUGGCUCCGUCGGAGUCCGAAUUGUAAUUUGUAGAGAGUGCUUCGGGCGAGGCCUCGGUCUAAGUCCAUUGGAACAUGGUGUCACAGAGGGUGAGAAUCCCGUAUGCGACCGUGGCUCGAGCCGAUGUGAAGCCUCUUCGACGAGUCGAGUUGUUUGGGAAUGCAGCUCAAAAUGGGUGGUAAAUUUCAUCUAAAGCUAAAUACCGGCUGGAGACCGAUAGCGCACAAGUAGAGUGAUCGAAAGAUGAAAAGCACUUUGGAAAGAGAGUCAAACAGUACGUGAAAUUGUUGAAAGGGAAGCGCUUGCAACCAGACCUGCCCGUAGGCGAUCAGCCGCUGUUCUCAGCGGUGUACUCGCUCUGCGAUCAGGCCAGCAUCGGUUUCGGCGGUCGGAUAAAGGCCUUGGGAAUGUAGCUUCUCUUCGGGGGAGUCUUAUAGCCCUCGGUGUAAUGCGGCCAGCCGGGACCGAGGACCGCGCUUCGGCUAGGAUGCUGGCGUAAUGGUUGUAAGCGACCCGUCUUGAAACACGGACCAAGGAGUCUAACAUCUAUGCGAGUGUUUGGGUGUCAAACCCAUGCGCGGAAUGAAAGUGAACGGAGGUGAGAACCCUUAAGGGCGCAUCAUCGACCGAUCCAGAAGUCUUCGGAUGGAUUUGAGUAUGAGCAUAGCUGUUGGGACCCGAAAGAUGGUGAACUAUGCCUGAAUAGGGUGAAGCCAGAGGAAACUCUGGUGGAGGCUCGCAGCGGUUCUGACGUGCAAAUCGAUCGUCAAAUUUGGGUAUAGGGGCGAAAGACUAAUCG